CCCCCGCCCCGUGUGCACUCACCCGGGUCAGCGCUGCCUGCACUGGGCUGUGCACAGCUAGUAACAACCCCCUGCCCCGUGUGCACUCACCCGGGUCAGCGCUGCCUGCACUGAGCUGUGCACAGGUAGUAACAACCCCCCGCCCCGUGUGCACUCACCCGGGUCAGCGCUGCCUGCACUGAGCUGUGCACAGGUAGUAACAACCCCCUGCCCCGUGUGCACUCACCCGGGUCAGCGCUGCCUGCACUGGGCUGUGCACAGGUAGUAACAACCACCCGCCCCGUGUGCACUCACCCGGGUCAGCGCUGCCUGCACUGAGCUGUGCACAGACGUUAUCAUUCUCCUGCAGG
Oryctolagus cuniculus (rabbit) is the source of this 350-nucleotide non-coding RNA. The record is from RefSeq and is a predicted model, not a curated record. NCBI's taxonomy places the organism in Eukaryota, Metazoa, Chordata, Mammalia, Lagomorpha, Leporidae.